RNAcentral lists this ribosomal RNA (449 nucleotides) under uncultured bacterium. RNAcentral describes it as "partial 16S ribosomal RNA". It matches the Rfam family "Bacterial small subunit ribosomal RNA", at positions 354 to 796 of the family's 1533-position model. The record is from RNAcentral.
GUGGGGAAUAUUGGACAAUGGGCGAAAGCCUGAUCCAGCCAUGCCGCGUGUGUGAAGAAGGUCUUCGGAUUGUAAAGCACUUUAAGUUGGGAGGAAGGGCAGUAAGUUAAUACCUUGCUGUUUGACGUUACCGACAGAAUAAGCACCGGCUAACUUCGUGCCAGCAGCCGCGGUAAUACGAAGGGUGCAAGCGUUAAUCGGAAUUAAUGGGCGUAAAGCGCGCGUAGGUGGUUUUGUAAGUUGGAGGUGAAAUCCCCGGGCUCAACCUGGGAACUGCCUCCAAAACUGCAUGACUAGAGUACGGUAGAGGGUAGUGGAAUUUCCUGUGUAGCGGUGAAAUGCGUAGAUAUAAGAAGGAACACCAGUGGCGAAGGCGACCACCUGGACUGAUACUGACACUGAGGUGCGAAAGCGUGGGGAGCAAACAGGAUUAGAAACCCUUGUAGUCC